This is a non-coding RNA of Lolium perenne, 1611 nucleotides long. NCBI's taxonomy places the organism in Eukaryota, Viridiplantae, Streptophyta, Magnoliopsida, Poales, Poaceae. The record is from RefSeq and is a predicted model, not a curated record.
UGAGAAACAUGGUAUACUACACAGCUAUGAAUUGGAUAGCUGUAACUCUUAUUGCAAGUAGACAUUGUAAGAAUUGUUCGAUGUAACAAGCUUAUUGGGUUUCUUUUUUACCGCUGUUAUGAGAAAGUAUAGCUUAAUCUGUACACAUGGUAUUUACACUGUAGGGACAAAGUAAAUAUAUGAGAUUUCCAUGGAAAUAAACAUUUCAGAGAAGAAGAGCUCGGAUAGGCGACACACAUAUCAUUUUACUUCUUUAAAGAUGCCGCCUUAUAACUAUAUCUAUCUGUACACAACUACAUAUGGCCAUUCAGGUUUAAAAGACCUUUCUUUACUCAACCAGUCUAUGGACAAUGUCAAGGUUUCGAUCAAUGGUCAUUCAAUCUCCGAACGUGCAGACAAAAAAGUUGGUCCUGUUGGCCUGGGUUCAUAUUGAUGAUUUUCUGCUGAGCUCUUAAAUUACAUUUAACACUGUGAAGCAUUAUACAAUAAGCUUAGAAUGCUAUUUAUAUCAGCAGAAGAUUAGGUGGAAACGGCUUAUUUGUCUCAGGAUUUGCUGGGCCUAAUAAGGGAUCAAUGAGAACAAAGAUACAAAAGUAGAAGAACAUGCACACACUGACACUUUAUGUUUGUUCUCUUACAAAAUGGUGAGUUCAUAUUUCUGUCCAGGAUAUUGUCGUAAACUUUAAUAUGUAGUCCUGGGGGUACCACUGUAUUUUCCUAUUUGACAUAUAUGAAUAUAAUACACUAUAUUAUGCCAUUGAAGAUGUAGCAGCAGGAUUGACAUUGUGGAGUUCAGUCAAAUACUUUUUUUUAAUAAAAAGUACAAGAACAUAUACAAAUGAUUGAAUCGUAAACAUAAUGCAAUGAGUUUUCACCAUUCAGGAUACAUUUUUUAUGAAUGAAAACCAUGGUAUAGUAUUCUGGGAUAGAGCAAACAUGCAAAGUUAUAUGGUCAGUUCUUCCUCUGUUGACAUUUCUUUAGUGUCUUCUCCGUUAGAUUUCAGAAUGAGAAACCUUGUGUUCAGUCGGAGAAAAUGAUUGCCAGUUGUGGAACCAAAAAGUUAGCCCAUGUGUGUGGGUCGUUGCCCCUAGCUGGACUCCGGUUCUUCAAUAUAGAGCUUCAAGCAAGUGUUUUGUUGUUCUGAUCAUGUCACUGCAACUCAGACGAAAUUUUGCUUACAUGACUCCAUGAGGCCUCUACUACAGAAGUUUUAUGCGAAGUGCAACAAGUUUAUGCUGCACAUAACCUGUAGUUGUGCACGUCAAUGUGGUCUGCACGUCAAUGUGCUCAAUUUGUUGGAAAUUCAAGCAUUGUUCCCAUAGCUAAGCCGAGAGAAGGGUUGAUAGGAAAAACUAAGCAUCAUCACGUUUCGUAUAAAAUAGUACCUCUUCUUUCUUUUUGGGAUGUAAAACAGUAGCUAACCGAACCAUUGUGCACUAAUAGUUCCAAUCUAGCAAGCCACUAUUGUUUGUACCAAAAAUCUGGUAUGCACAGUGCAACACGCCAAUGCUCGCAGCUGUUAUGUGCCAUCUCCGCAACUUCUGACCUUGUAAUAUACAAAAACUUGUAUGUUGAACUGCAGUUCCAAUACUAUAAGCAUUUAGUCUUAA